This 725-nucleotide ribosomal RNA is filed under the name uncultured rumen bacterium. RNAcentral's name for it is "bacterial SSU rRNA". It matches the Rfam family "Bacterial small subunit ribosomal RNA", at positions 83 to 822 of the family's 1533-position model. The record is from RNAcentral.
CCUUCGGGGUUAGUGGCAGACGGGUGAGUAACACGUAGGUAAUGUACCUUCUUGCUGGGGAUACCUACCCGAAAGGGCGGUUAAUACCGAAUGGUCUCGCGCUGCGGCAUCGCGGUGCGAGUAAAGUGUUUUAGCGCGAGAGGAUCAGCCUGCGGGCCAUCAGCUGGUUGGUGGGGUAACGGCCUACCAAGGCAUCGACGGUUAGCCGGUCUGAGAGGAUGAUCGGCCACACUGGAACUGAGAGACGGUCCAGACUCCUACGGGAGGCAGCAGUGAGGAAUAUUGCGCAAUGGGCGGAAGCCUGACGCAGCGACGCCGCGUGAGGGACGAAGGUUUUCGGAUCGUAAACCUCUGUUAAGCAGGGAAGAGAACGGACGGUACCUGCUGAGGAAGCAUCGGCUUACUACGUGCCAGCAGCCGCGGUAAUACGUAGGAUGCGAGCGUUGUCCGGAUUUACUGGGCGUAAAGAGCUUGUAGGCGGGAAUGCGCGUCUUCGAUGAAAUUGCACGGCUUAACCGUGCAGCUAUUGGAGAUACGGUAUUUCUUGAGGGCAGAAGAGGAGAACGGAAUUCCCAGUGUAGCGGUGAAAUGCGUAGAUAUUGGGAAGAACACCGGCGGCGAAGGCGGUUCUCUGGUCUGUCACUGACGCUAAAGAGCGAAGGCGUGGGUAGCGAACGGGAUUAGAUACCCCGGUAGUCCACGCGGUAAACGAUGGAUACUAGGUG